GAUGAAGAACGUAGCGAAAUGCGAUAAGUAAUGUGAAUUGCAGAAUUCAGUGAAUCAUCGAAUCUUUGAACGCACAUUGCGCCCGCCAGUAUUCUGACGGGCAUGCCUGUUCGAGCGUCAUUUCAACCAUCAAGCCCUGCUUGCGUUGGGGUCCUGCGGCUGCCCGCAGGCCCUGAAAACCAGUGGCGGGCUCGCUAGUCACACCGAGCGCAGUAAUACAUCUCGCUUUGGGCGUGCGGCGGGUUCUUGCCGUUAAACACCCCCUUUUUACCAAGGUUGACCUCGGAUCAGGUAGGAAUACCCGCUGAACUUAAGCAUAUCAAUAAGCGGAGGA
Molecule: unclassified non-coding RNA, 334 nt
Filed under: soil metagenome
Description: partial contains 5.8S ribosomal RNA, internal transcribed spacer 2, and large subunit ribosomal RNA
Rfam family: 5.8S ribosomal RNA (bases 1-120)
Source: RNAcentral